UACAGAGGGUGCAAGCGUUGUUCGGAAUCACUGGGCGUAAAGCGCGCGUAGGCGGCUUUUCAAGUCAGGGGUGAAAUCCCACGGCUCAACCGUGGAAUUGCCUUUGAAACUGUUAAGCUGGAGUAUUGGAGGGGAUAGCGGAAUUCCUAAUGUAGAGGUGAAAUUCGUAGAUAUUAGGAGGAACACCGGUGGCGAAGGCGGCUAUCUGGACAAUUACUGACGCUGAAGUGCGAAAGCGCGGGGAUCAAACAGG
This 253-nucleotide ribosomal RNA is filed under the name uncultured bacterium. RNAcentral describes it as "partial 16S ribosomal RNA". It matches the Rfam family "Bacterial small subunit ribosomal RNA", at positions 524 to 776 of the family's 1533-position model. The record is from RNAcentral.